Molecule: long non-coding RNA, 703 nt
Filed under: Triticum aestivum (bread wheat)
Lineage: Eukaryota; Viridiplantae; Streptophyta; Magnoliopsida; Poales; Poaceae
Description: long non-coding RNA (TAES_LNC009848)
Source: RNAcentral
GGACGUCCUCGACUCGGCGUGUUGCACUACCUCCGGUGUCAUCACCCCUUGUGGCCCGCAGCAUCUGAGGACAUAUGACUACUUUCUGACCUGCCAGCGCAAAUGUUAGAUCAUUUGAAUUAGCAAGUACAGAUGAUCAGGCAGACGACAAAAGGAAAUUGCUCUUUUAAUAUGUAAUUUGUACUGUGAAAUUUGAUACUCACAGUACAUCAUGAUCUGCAUGACAAACUGAGUUGACAAUAUGGCAUCCUUUGAACAUAGUGGGGCACGUACUCCCUUUCAGGACCCGACGAACAACAGGAAUUCAGGUAAAUACAUAUAUCACGUACUCUUACCUACUUCAAUCUUGUAAAUCCAGAAUAUGUCAUUGCCUCGUAGGUCAAAAAACAGAUUCAAAAGAACUAAAGAGACAGAGGGAAAGGGAGAGGUAAACAGGGAUGCAAUACUAAGAAAAUAAGACAGGAGGCAAGGGAUCUAAGAAAGCUACGUCUGCUAUUCUAAAUGGAACCAACACUCCAUCUAAGCCACCCGUGGCCAUGUCGCCUGGUUACUCCAUUUUCUAUGUUCUUUAUCAUACAUUCCAUGAAUCACAAGUAAAGUCAUGUUAAUUAAGUGUUCUUUUCGACAGGUUUUGACGCUGUGGACAGGCCCAGUGCGUAGUCCGCUGUCACCCAGCAACGACACACCCCAGCUACGGAAGGUC